GAAUUUUGAGUCACAGAUUAAAUGAGUUCAUGUUAGGAUGAAAAGUAUUGAAAUGGUGCACAAUUAAUAUUUAUGUUAAUUGUGAAAAAAAUUAACCAGCAUGGACGAUAACUUGAAAAAUGAACUGAGAAACUAACGUCUACCAGGCAUACUGUUAAUUACAUGAGAAAUGCCUGAAUGUAAUAGUUUUUUAUUGCUGCAUAAUAAAUAACCAUAAAUUAAUGGCUUAAAAGCAGGACCUGUUAAGUGCUGGAAGAAAGAAGUCUGCGGAGAAGGGCAUAGUGUUGUGCCCAGAUCGCGAAGUCCCCAAAGACCACCAAGGAGCCGAUUCCGAUGCAAACACACGAGGGUCGGUCGUUUAUUCAAGCUCCAGCAGGGACUCACAACCGUCACCGGCACAGCGGAUGAGGAUUGAGAGCACCGAAUUUUAAAUCACCAGGGUUUUUAUUGUGUCUACAGCAAGGUAUUCCACUGCUGGGAAUAUAUCCAAAGGAAAUGAAAUCAGCAUACCAAAGAUACCUGCAGGCCCAUAUUUAUUGCAGCACUAUUUACAAUAAUUAUGAUAUAGAAUAAACCUUGAUGCCCAUCAACAGAUGAAUGGAUAACAAAUGUGGUAAAUAUACACAAUGUAGUAGUAUUUCACCCAAAAGAUGAAUGAAAUCCUGUCAUUUGUGACAAAAUGGAUGGGACUAGGGGACAUUCUGUUAAGUAAAAUAAAUGAAUCACAUACAAAAAGAAAAAUACUGCAUAUUCGUUCAUACAUAGAAGCUAAAAAAAUGUUGACCAGAAAGUAGAAUAAUAAUUACUAGGUAUUGGAGGGUUGGGGAGAGGUGGGAAAAGAUAAUUUGCUUGGAUUUAGUCACUGUAUGCUAUAUGUAUAUAUGGAAAUACCACACUGAGCUCUUAAUAAGUACAAUUGAUACAUUUUAAUAAAAAUAAGAAUUUUAAAAAUUUUGUGCACAAGUGUUCUGAUCAAAGUACAGAAUGAUAGUUGAAAUCCAACCUACUCCUUGAGUUUCAACUUUGCUGAUCAGUCAAGCAAAAGUAAAUGAGACAAUACACUAGAAUAUAUACAUGUGACAAAUUUGAAAAGUACAGAAUGUGAAUAAAAACACAGUGAAUGUUUAAAUUUUUUAAAUAUUUGUUUUAGUAAGAGAUACAUUACUAUUGAUCUUCCUCAAAACUCUCUUCCUUCCUUUGAACACAUGUAUCCCAUCUGUCUUGCCACUUUCUGAAGCAGUUCUGUAAGUCCUUUUUCAUGGGUGUUUUCUUUUAGUUGCACCCUCCUGGCUGCCUUGAUGUCCUGAAUUGAUUCAAAGCAUUUACUUUUCAUGGUCGUGACUUUGGGGAAGAAUCAAAAGUCACCUGGUGCCAGAUCUGCUGAAUAAGGUGAAUGAAGACACAAACUAAUGUUUUUAUGAGCCUGCCUUUCCAUUGGAUGGCAUCUGGCAGCAGCAUUCACCUCAUGAAAAGACACAAAAACACUUCCAGAACUUCUUCAUAAAGAAUGCCAGAAUGCAUCUGUUACACAUUCAGGGGAUAGACCUCUUUAUAUUUGAUCCUAAAUUUCAAGUCUUCUCCAGAGUCCAGGCCUGGCUGCUGAGUUUCUUCAUAGGAACCUGUCACUGAGCUCUAGAAUCCCACCUCUGGAGACAGAUCACAUUGUAAACAAAAGCUAGAGGUGCAGGGGACAAAGGAGAAAUAAGAUGGGGAAGUGGUGUUGGGCCCUAGGCUUGGGCAGGCUUAGACUGUGUCAGGCAGGUCCUAUUAG
Molecule: non-coding RNA, 1771 nt
Organism: Heterocephalus glaber (naked mole-rat)
Lineage: Eukaryota; Metazoa; Chordata; Mammalia; Rodentia; Bathyergidae
Source: RefSeq, a predicted model, not a curated record